Molecule: ribosomal RNA, 636 nt
Filed under: Savius diversicornis
Lineage: Eukaryota; Metazoa; Arthropoda; Insecta; Hemiptera; Coreidae
Description: SSU rRNA
Rfam family: Eukaryotic small subunit ribosomal RNA
Source: RNAcentral
GGAAUAAUGGAACAGGACCUUGGUUCUAUUUUGUUGGUUUUAGGAAUCCAAGGUAAUGAUCAAUAAGGACAGGCGGGGGCAUUCGUAUUGCGACGUUAGAGGUGAAAUUCUUGGAUCGUCGCAAGACGCACUAGAGCGAAAGCAUUUGCCAAGUAUGUCUUAAUUGAUCAAGAACGAAAGUUAGAGGUUCGAAGGCGAUCAGAUACCGCCCUAGUUCUAACCAUAAACGAUGCCAGCCAGCGAUCCGCCGAUGUUCCUCCGAUGACUCGGCGGGGAGCUUUCCCCGGGAAACCAAAGCUUUUGGGUUCCGGGGGAAGUAUGGUUGCAAAGCUGAAACUUAAAGGAAUUGACGGAAGGGCACUACCAGGAGUGGAGCCUGCGGCUUAAUUUGACUCAACACGGGAAACUUCACCAGGCCCGGACAUUGGAAGGAUUGACAGAUCGAUAGCUCUUUCUCGAUUCAGUGGGUAGUGGUGCAUGGCCGUUCUUAGUUGGUGGACUGAUUUGUCUGGUUAAUUCCGAUAACGAACGAGACUCUAACCUAUUAACUAGGCGUUGCCGGUAUAAACAGCUACCGGCGAGAUUUAUUCUUCUUAAGGGGACAGGCGGCUCUCAGCCGCACGAGAUAGAGCAAUA